UACGGAGGGUGCAAGCGUUAUCCGGAUUCACUGGGUUUAAAGGGUGCGUAGGCGGGCAGGUAAGUCAGUGGUGAAAUCCCCGGGCUUAACUUGGGAACUGCCGUUGAUACUAUCUGUCUUGAAUAUCGUGGAGGUGAGCGGAAUAUGUCAUGUAGCGGUGAAAUGCUUAGAUAUGACAUAGAACACCCAUUGCGAAGGCAGCUCACUACACGAUAAUUGACGCUGAGGCACGAAAGCGUGGGGAGCAAACAGG
RNAcentral lists this ribosomal RNA (253 nucleotides) under uncultured bacterium. RNAcentral describes it as "partial 16S ribosomal RNA". It matches the Rfam family "Bacterial small subunit ribosomal RNA", at positions 524 to 776 of the family's 1533-position model. The record is from RNAcentral.